AAAUAGUAAAUUUAAAAACCUUUUACCGCUUCAGGUUAAAGUUUUUGGUCGAGGUAGUUUUUGAUGAAGUUGAAGUCCAAUCAACUUAAAACUUAGUACACAUGUUCUUUAUGAUAUGAUCUUCUAAUUUUAAUGCCAAAUUAGAGAUUUUACUCCAUUUUCACGGUCCACUGAACAUAGAAAAUAAUAAUGAGAUGGGGCAUCUGUGUACUGGGGACACAUUCUUGUUUUAUAAAUUGAAUAUGAUAUUCAAAAAAUUUGAUUUUAGACUUCAAAAACAAAAUGACCACUGGCUUAUCUUUUCGACAUGAUAUUUGUUAUAGCUUUAAUAGUUCAUUAGUUACAAAGCCUGUUGAUGAAUGAAUUUAUGAUUAUGUAUAAAUAUUUUGUUUAACCAUGGUGCUAUAUGUUCCCUUUUGCAAGCUCUAAAAAAGG
Molecule: long non-coding RNA, 435 nt
Filed under: Mytilus galloprovincialis (Mediterranean mussel)
Lineage: Eukaryota; Metazoa; Mollusca; Bivalvia; Mytilida; Mytilidae
Source: RNAcentral